GUGAUGGAAUCAUGGAAACCCUGUGCAGAGAGCCUCCUAGACCAAAACAUUCAAAUUCAAAUCCAAAUGCAGGCAAAGCCAGCCUGAGGUCCCGAUUCAUGCUCUGCUGGCCAGAUCUAGAAGGAUAGUGCUCUGCAUUGCAAAAAGUACCUCUAGCCUGGAACAGGACCUGUCCUCUUUGAUUUUUCUACAUUUCACAGGUUUAAAUUAAGUACACUCAAAGGUGUUAUUUGUAGCAAUAUCCUAACUACAUUGAACUACCAUUUAACAUGCUGUUUCUACGGGAAACAUGUAUUGCAAGUUCUAACUCUAAGUGCUAGGAGUGUCCCAGCAUCCAUCCCAUCUUUGGUGAUGACAGCAUCCAUGGAAUCAACAUCUGAGGUACAGAACGUCACUGGGGAGGCCAGGAGAAAGCUCCUGGGUGCAGAUAGCUUGUGAUGGCUCCAUAUCUCUGUAUAUAUCUCAACACGACCCUCACACUCGAUACUCCAGGCAUGUCCACCUAUCUACAGAGGGCCCGCCAUCCUCAUUUCUUCACCACUGCUGUGUGCCAUGCUACAUCCUCUGCCUCACCUUCACCCAGCUGCUUGUUUUUAUCCUGUGGGCCACUUCUUUUCCUAACCUCUUCCCCGCUCUGUUGUCUGACACUCCAAAGCCACCAGAGCAUGUUGUACUUUCCCCAGUGUGGUGCUUCUCCACACUGGAUUGUGACUGUCAUUUGUGGUCAGCAUCUCCCCCAGACUGGUAGGAGGAGGAGAGGGUCGGACUCUUCACAGCAGUAUCCCCAACACCUGACUGGUGUCACAUGCUUCGUGGCCAGCAUUGAAUGAAUGAGCAAAUGUAUUAACAAAAAAUUGAAGGAAUGAAGAGAUAAAGCAACUUUUUGCGCUAAAUCACUGGUAUUCUCAAAUGGGUCACAUGACACACUGUCCUCUCAAGGGACAGAGACAAAGCUUGCAUCUGAAACUCCCCAUACCUGCACAUUCAUUGCUCAGUUAACCUUCACAAUAACCAACAUGAGGUAUUUCUUUUACAACAAUAAAAAAGUAAAUUGAUGACUAGAGAUAUUGAAUAAAUUGCCCAGCACCAUAAAGCUAGUAAAUGGCUGAACCCUGAACUCCAACCCAGCUCCCCUGACUGCAAAACCUGUGCUUUCCCACCACACCGGGCUGGCCAGGGGUUAGGAGCUCACUGAUGCCUGAUGGCAAACAUACUCCUGCUGUCGCUGCUGCUGCUCCCACUCCUGACUUCAGUAUUCCAGGCUCACACAGCCAAAUCAGCUCUCAGAAGAAGUCAACCCCAGAGUAGAUUCUGGGUCACAGCUGUUACAAUCAGGAAGUUGGUCUUUAACCCCAGGUAGAAGCUUCACUUCACUAGGGUGGGAUCUUUGAACACAGAGCAUCCCUUCCAUCUGCUGUCCCACACCUGCCUCCCUAUGCCUAUUCUCAUCAACACAUAUUUAAAACCUUUGAAGGACAACCUCAAGCCACAUGCAAAAAACUUCCUAAUUAUUAGGGAGCGAAUUUGCAAUAUUUUAGUAUAUAUAAGUAAGAGUGAAUGAAAGAGACAUAGAGGCCGAGGGAGAGGCAGAGAGAGAGGGAAACAGAAAGUGAAAGCAGAGGCAGAGUUAUGCAUAACAGGUUCUAAAAUACACUAUUUGGUAGGGGUGUAAUGAUGACGCACAUUGCUAGAGAAAAGAACAAAAUGGAGGAAGCUCUCUGGCGUCUAUGUGCCUUAUAAAAUUAUUAAUUUAACCAAUCCCUAAAGUCAUGAAGUAUUAAGUGACAAGUUGUCUAGCUACAAUAGUAUGAGUCAACUACUGCAUAUUCCACUCUAUUUUAACAUUGAAGCCUAAGAUGAUUUAGGCUAACAAAGUCAUUUUCCAAACAAAUCUAAAAAUCAAAUCUUCAUACAAGAAAAGAGGGAGAAGCACCAGACUUUAACCCCAAAUGGCAGCCAGUCUUUAUGAGAUUCUGUUACAGGGUCUGUAAAACUCUGAGCCAGCUGCAUGGAAAGGACCCAGGACCACUCACACUGACUGAUGUGGUCUUUGAAAAUGUGCCAGCAAGGCUUACAGAGAAGGAAACCAGAGCUUUUCAGAACUCAGCUCCUCUGCACAGCGACACAGUGAGAUGGACAAGGGCUGCUCUACUGAAUUUGCAAAUGUGAAUUUAACCCACUUAUGAAAACAGUACCGGGCAUGGCUAUAUCACUUAUCAGCUCAUCAAGUUUGUUCUGGAGGGGAAGCAGUUUUGUGUGGCCCCACUAUCAGGCACCAGCCUGUGAAUUAACCUUACUAUACUGCUACUUAAAAAUAUACCAACAUAAAUCUGGGUAUAAACUCUUCAUGCUGACAGCUCUGAUAUAACUUG
This 2372-nucleotide long non-coding RNA is filed under the name Homo sapiens (human). RNAcentral describes it as "non-protein coding lnc-SERP2-6:1". The record is from RNAcentral. Lineage: Eukaryota; Metazoa; Chordata; Mammalia; Primates; Hominidae.